RNAcentral lists this ribosomal RNA (322 nucleotides) under uncultured eukaryote. RNAcentral describes it as "partial 18S ribosomal RNA". It matches the Rfam family "Eukaryotic small subunit ribosomal RNA", at positions 1470 to 1796 of the family's 1831-position model. The record is from RNAcentral.
CCCUUAGAUGUUCUGGGCCGCACGCGCGCUACACUGACUGACUCAACGAGUUUACAACCUGUGCCGAAAGGUAUGGGUAAUCUUUUGAAAUUCAGUCGCGAUGGGGCUAGAUUAUUGCAACUAUUAAUCUUCAACGAGGAAUGCCUAGUAAGCGCGAAUCAUCAGUUCGCGUUGAUUACGUCCCUGCCCUUUGUACACACCGCCCGUCGCUCCUACCGAUUGAAUGGUCCGGUGAAAUCUCGGGACGGCGGCUUGGUCGCUUGCGUCCGACUGCUGAAACUUGAUUAAACCAUAUCAUUUAGAGGAAGGUGAAGUCGUAACA